AAUAUUGGACAAUGGGGGCAACCCUGAUCCAGCCAUGCCGCGUGUGUGAAGAAGGUCUUAGGAUUGUAAAGCACUUUAAGUUGGGAGGAAGGGCAGUAAGUUAAUACCUUGAUGUUUUGACGUUACCGACAGAAUAAGAACCGCACAACUUCGUGCCAGCAGCCGCGGUAAUACGUAGGGUGCAAGCGUUAAUCGGAAUUACUGGGCGUAAAGCGAGCGUAGUUGGUUCAGUAAGAUGGGUGUGAAAUCCCCGGGCUUAACCUGGGAACUGCUUUCAUAACUGCUGAGCUAGAGUACGGUAGAGGGUAGUGGAAUUUCCUGUGUAGCGGUGAAAUGCGUAGAUAUAGGAAGGAACACCAGUGGCGAAGGCGACUACCUGGGCUAAUACUGACACUGAGGUGCGAAAGCGUGGGGAGCAAAC
This 421-nucleotide ribosomal RNA is filed under the name uncultured bacterium. RNAcentral's name for it is "partial 16S ribosomal RNA". It matches the Rfam family "Bacterial small subunit ribosomal RNA", at positions 360 to 773 of the family's 1533-position model. The record is from RNAcentral.